Scatophagus argus is the source of this 2135-nucleotide long non-coding RNA. RefSeq lists it as uncharacterized. The record is from RefSeq and is a predicted model, not a curated record. NCBI's taxonomy places the organism in Eukaryota, Metazoa, Chordata, Actinopteri, Scatophagidae. The transcript has 3 exons.
AAACUGGGUGCCACACAGGAAAGCGAAGGGGUUUGGGACGGUUGCCAACAAACUUCCCUCUAUGUUCUGGGCUGAUGAGAAACAUGACACAUUUACCUGUCUAUCCAACAACAAAAUAUGUGUCAUUUAAAAACACACGUGAGGUGGAGCAACACGGUUAGCUUCCCUGGCAACAGCCAUUUUAUGAAGAACAGCGGAGGCGUGUCGGAGCGAACAGAAAGCAGAGAAAGCUGCGAGUUAAUGUGGACAGAAAACCGCUGUGCUGCACGGCGUCCAAAAAACAACAUGAAUGAGGACAGAUCAGUUGACAUCGCCACGAUGUCGUUCCAGUUUUAACCGCACGGGGGAGGCAGAGGUUAACAAAUGAAUAAUAAAUAAACCAGCCACUAAAAAUUCUUUCACAUACUAAACAUUGUAUUCUUGCAUUACCUAAAGAUUUCGACUGCUAUUUCAACUUUUACAUCACAAUUCGUAUGAUUGUUGUUUUGAUUUAACGGGCUAUUCCAGCAACUUAGCAUUGCAUCAUCAAUCAGUUUGGGGCCUUCAAAGAGAUAGUAAAAGGUCAAAAUCAAAGCAUCCGAGGCUGAAAUACUCUGGCUUUCGGUCCAUAGCAAUGGUCCAAUCCAAAAACAUUCAAUCCCAUAAUCAUCAUAAUGCAUUUAUAACAAGAAAGUCAACAAUUAUGACAUUACAGUGUGCCUCCAAGAUUGCUUAGUUGAGAGAAGGGUCCUUAUAUUUCCUCAUAUUUCAAACAUGAUUAUAGUACUGUGCACAACGGACAGAUCUACAUAGAAAUACUUCCCGCGUUUGUGGAAGAAAACAGGCCUGCAGAGAGCCCUAACCUCAACCCCAUCCAACACUUUCAGGGUGAACGCAGGGCUUUAUAGUCCAACCUGGACCUCUCUGAUGCUCCCCUUGUGGCUGAUUGGGAACAAGUAGCUGAAACCAGGCUCCAGAAUCUUGUGCAAAACCUGAAACUAGAAGAGUGGGGCCGUUAUAGCAGACUGGACAUUAUGAGUUGUGAGAUUUCAUUUGGGGAAGCAGCCAGUCAGCAAACGCAGAGAGUGAGAAAGAGCUUUAAAAGCCCACUUAAACAUACAGGCGUCUGUAUUAUGCGUGUUUACUAAUGAUGCUCUCUGUUUGUUGUCAUCUGUCUAAUGUGGUGUUUGCUCUCAUGUGCAAAUUGUCUGCACUGUCAUGCUCACCUAAUGGCUGAGAGAGAGAGAGAGAGGACAUCAUAAAAAGAUAUUAAAGGGGUAAAGACAAUUGGAUUACCUUUCUUGUUGGUAAUGGACCUGGGCCCAAUAAAGACUCUUUAAUGGGAGUCUUUGACAGGAGGCUGUGGGAGCUAAUGGCCUGGUGUCUCUCCUCUCCCAUGUAUGGCUCAUGAGUGGAGGAGAAUGCUGAUUGUGUGCCGACUGAUUGACUUUAAAAGUGGAAGAUGAUGAAGCACUGAAACAUUAACAGGUUUUUCACUUUGCAAUUUAGAGGUUUAUGUCAUCGAGGAAAUGCCUCUAAGAGGCAAUAACAUGUAAAGUGGUCUCUCAGUGUAUUCAAAAUUGUCCCUGCACCUCUCUCUCCCUGUCUCAGAGCUUGUGAGACAUCCCAUGAGACUCGAGGAAAUGGGCCACUUCAGCCAUGAAUAAAUCACUGCAGGGUAAAAGCUACCCAAAUUUGUAUGUGUUGUCAGAUAAAAUGAUUAUGAUAUUAACUUUUAGUAAAAGUGUGCUUUAGUGCCAUCAGUCACAGACACAAUUAAAGUUAUAAAAAAGAAACACAGAAGGUGACAUGAGAGGAGGAUCAUAGAGCUCCAAGUUCAUCUUUCUCUGAGCGGAGUAAAGAAUGGAUUAAAGAGAGACAGAGACUGUAUUAACUGAAAACAUGACAGAAAGGCUAUCAGGUUGUAGUGCAGGGGGAGGGAAGGCAGCGGUGUGUCGACUGGGCAUGAUGGAGCAAGAGACGACUAUUCCAGACAUCUUCAACUGACCAACCAACUGGCUCGUUUCAGUGACCAUUGGAGCACGUUGUGGUCAUGUUAGUCUUGUUUCAGUGAGACAUUGGGAGCCCCCCAAACCACAUGUUUUGAGGGAAAAUAUCUUCUCCUCACCCUGACUGUUUUUACUGCCUAAACCUAA